Molecule: ribosomal RNA, 253 nt
Filed under: uncultured bacterium
Lineage: Bacteria
Description: partial 16S ribosomal RNA
Rfam family: Bacterial small subunit ribosomal RNA
Source: RNAcentral
UACGUAGGCAGCGAGCGUUGUUCGGAGUUACUGGGCGUAAAGGGUGUGUAGGCGGUUGUUUAAGUUUGGUGUGAAAUCUCCCGGCUCAACUGGGAGGGUGCGCCGAAUACUGGAGGGCUAGAGUGCGGGAAGGGAGAGUAGAAUUCCUGGUGUAGCGGUGAAAUGCGUAGAUAUCAGGAGGAAUACCGGUGGUGCAGACGGCUCUCUGGACCGCGACUGACGCUGAGACACGAAAGCGUGGGUAGCAAACAGG